Molecule: ribosomal RNA, 383 nt
Filed under: uncultured bacterium
Lineage: Bacteria
Description: bacterial SSU rRNA
Rfam family: Bacterial small subunit ribosomal RNA
Source: RNAcentral
AGCGAACGUUUGCGGCGGGCCUAACACAUGCAAGUCGAACGCACUAGCAAUAGUGAGUGGCGCACGGGUGCGUAACACGUGGGUAAUCAACCCUUCAGCCUGGGAUAACGACUCGAAAGGGUCGCUAAUACCGGAUACGGCGCGAGAGGCUUCGGCUUCUCACGAGAAAGCCACGCAAGGGGCACUGAAGGACGAGCCUGCGGCCCAUCAGCUAGUUGGUGAGGUAAGAGCUCACCAAGGCUAAGACGGGUAGCUGGUCUGAGAGGAUGAUCAGCCACACUGGAACUGAGACACGGUCCAGACUCCUACGGGAGGCAGCAGUGGGGAAUAUUGCGCAAUGGGCGAAAGCCUGACGCAGCCACGCCGCGUGAGCGAUGAAGGCC